Molecule: ribosomal RNA, 440 nt
Filed under: uncultured bacterium
Lineage: Bacteria
Description: partial 16S ribosomal RNA
Rfam family: Bacterial small subunit ribosomal RNA
Source: RNAcentral
CCUACGGGUGGCAGCAGUAGGGAAUAUUGCUCAAUGGGGGAAACCCUGAAGCAGCAACGCCGCGUGGAGGAUGAAGGUUUUCGGAUUGUAAACUCCUUUUGUUAGAGAAGAUAAUGACGGUAUCUAACGAAUAAGCACCGGCUAACUCCGGGCCAGCAGCCGCGGUAAUACGGAGGGUGCAAGCGUUACUCGGAAUCACUGGGCGUAAAGAGCGCGUAGGCGGGGUAGCAAGUCAGAUGUGAAAUCCUAGGGCUUAACCAUAGCACUGCAUUUGAAACUGUAAUUCUAGAGUAUGGGAGAGGUAGGUGGAAUUCUUGGUGUAGGGGUAAAAUCCGUAGAGAUCAGGAGGAAUACUCAUUGCGAAGGCGACCUGCUAGAACAUAACUGACGCUGAUGCGCGAAAGCGUGGGGAGCAAACAGGAUUAGAUACCCCGGUAGUC